RNAcentral lists this ribosomal RNA (485 nucleotides) under Vibrio sp. ADRIF1. RNAcentral's name for it is "bacterial SSU rRNA". It matches the Rfam family "Bacterial small subunit ribosomal RNA", at positions 35 to 499 of the family's 1533-position model. The record is from RNAcentral. Lineage: Bacteria; Pseudomonadati; Pseudomonadota; Gammaproteobacteria; Vibrionales; Vibrionaceae.
GCUGGCGGCAGGCCUAACACAUGCAAGUCGAGCGGAAACGAGUUAUCUGAACCUUCGGGGAACGAUAACGGCGUCGAGCGGCGGACGGGUGAGUAAUGCCUAGGAAAUUGCCCUGAUGUGGGGGAUAACCAUUGGAAACGAUGGCUAAUACCGCAUAAUGCCUACGGGCCAAAGAGGGGGACCUUCGGGCCUCUCGCGUCAGGAUAUGCCUAGGUGGGAUUAGCUAGUUGGUGAGGUAAGGGCUCACCAAGGCGACGAUCCCUAGCUGGUCUGAGAGGAUGAUCAGCCACACUGGAACUGAGACACGGUCCAGACUCCUACGGGAGGCAGCAGUGGGGAAUAUUGCACAAUGGGCGCAAGCCUGAUGCAGCCAUGCCGCGUGUGUGAAGAAGGCCUUCGGGUUGUAAAGCACUUUCAGUCGUGAGGAAGGUAGUGUAGUUAAUAGCUGCAUUAUUUGACGUUAGCGACAGAAGAAGCACCGGCUA